RNAcentral lists this long non-coding RNA (749 nucleotides) under Coccomyxa subellipsoidea. RNAcentral describes it as "long non-coding RNA (CSUB_LNC000037)". The record is from RNAcentral. Lineage: Eukaryota; Viridiplantae; Chlorophyta; Trebouxiophyceae; Coccomyxaceae.
UCUGGCAGUCAGAAAAGCCAACUUGCAAGCAUCCCGCAUGCUACAGAGGAAAAAGCGCGCCUGCAUGACCCAGUCGAAGUCGUCGACAGCGGGCGCAAUUUCGAUGCCGAGAUCGGAGUUGUCCAGAGAUCCGCCGUGCGACAUUGCCCAGAGCAUCCAGCGCAGCUGAAUGCAGUUGCUCCACCAGAACGCCCGGCCCACCACGUCGUUGCUCGCCUCCGCUGCCGCCUCAACCGCCCUGCAGCAAGACAGGGACUGACAGGCAUCAGCACAAGCUUCAGCAGUGUGUGUGGCAUCACAAAAACAGCCGCACAAAUUUUCCGAAGACGGUGGCCUGGAGCACAUGACUAGCUCCUCAUAACAAUAUAAAUUGGGCCAGACAAAGGACAGGGGAGGCUGUUGCCAAAAUAGAAACUUCCAGCCUGCAGAUCUUGCGUCGCUUGCUCAUAAUAGCUAUUAGAUCAAAGCGUUGACGGAGCACGCACAAUGGCUGUGACGGCGCACAAAGGUAUCGGUGCAACAAUAGAAAUUUCCAAACUGCACAUCGUUCUCAAUACAUGGUGCUUAACAAUGUGAGCUGGGAGUCAGGGAACGCCGCGCACCUGACGGCGCGCAGCCCGAAGAGGAUACCCUCCUCGGGGCCGAGGCUGAUCGUGGUCCGCGCCAGCCGCCGAGCCGGGGCGUGGCAGGAGCGCGCUUUGACCCGCUUUGCGCCGCCCUUCCCGGCCCGCACCGUGUACACCGCGGCC